This 97-nucleotide transfer RNA is filed under the name Clostridium sp. Its description in RNAcentral is "tRNA-Sec". It matches the Rfam family "Selenocysteine transfer RNA". The record is from RNAcentral. Lineage: Bacteria; Bacillati; Bacillota; Clostridia; Eubacteriales; Clostridiaceae. RNAcentral also lists the same sequence under 1 other name.
GGGGGUGGAAAGGUAACUGGUGUGCCUCCUGGUCUUCAAAACCAGUGUUGGGCGCGAGAGCGUCCUGGGUGAGUUCGAUUCUCACACGCCCUCGCCA